This 76-nucleotide transfer RNA is filed under the name Chloroflexota bacterium. RNAcentral describes it as "Chloroflexi bacterium (soil metagenome) tRNA-Ala". It matches the Rfam family "tRNA". From Rfam's summary of the family: Transfer RNA (tRNA) molecules are approximately 80 nucleotides in length. Their secondary structure includes four short double-helical elements and three loops (D, anti-codon, and T loops). Further hydrogen bonds mediate the characteristic L-shaped molecular structure. tRNAs have two regions of fundamental functional importance: the anti-codon, which is responsible for specific mRNA codon recognition, and the 3' end, to which the tRNAs corresponding amino acid is attached (by aminoacyl-tRNA synthetases). tRNAs cope with the degeneracy of the genetic code in two manners: having more than one tRNA (with a specific anti-codon) for a particular amino acid; and 'wobble' base-pairing, i.e. permitting non-standard base-pairing at the 3rd anti-codon position. Lineage: Bacteria; Bacillati; Chloroflexota. The record is from RNAcentral.
GGCCUCGUAGCUCAGUGGAUAGAGCAGCUCUUUUGCGAAGGGCCGAUCAUGGGUUCGAGUCCCAUCGGGGCCGCCG